Molecule: long non-coding RNA, 689 nt
Organism: Numida meleagris (helmeted guineafowl)
Lineage: Eukaryota; Metazoa; Chordata; Aves; Galliformes; Numididae
Exons: 3
Source: RefSeq, a predicted model, not a curated record
CAUGGCUCUGUAGGGCAAAGGGAGGCUAUGGCCUGAGAGUUGCCCUAGUUACUACUAGUGGGAUUUGUCAGGGCACCAUUUUUGGACCAGUACUUUUUAAUUAUUUUAUCAGUGACUCUAAUAGCAAUCUUGGGAGUGCUGACUCCCUCAAGGGUAGAGAGGCCUUGCACCAAGAUUUUGGCACAUUAGAGAGUAGUCACCAUCUGCACGAAGAAGAGCAAAAGCUGGAUUCUGUACCAAGAAUGGGGCAGCCCUGUCUCUGUACAGACUGGGAGAUGAGGAGAUGGAGAGAAACUCUGCACAAAGGUUUUAAGAUUACAGAAUGAUGGACACUAUAUCACGAAAUAUCUGCAGCUGCUUCGUGAAAUCAACACUGUAAUCUGAAUAACUUGUGAUCAGACCUUGUUGACAAGAUUACAAGAGAAGCCAACCAAAAAGCCCACAGAAAAAAAAAAAGCUGGAACUACAGAAUAUCUAGUAGUGAGAAAACAAUGAUGAGAAGGAACAUACCAUGAUGAAGGCAUUUUUAUGGACUUGUGAAAGCUGAGUAGAAGAAUUCUACACAUGAACUACAUCAGAUUUUUCCAUUCUGAAGCCAUCCUUCAGUUUCUAUUCUCUGUCUCCCAUGACCAAGUUUCAGAAACUAAUGAAGCAUUAGCAUUGAAAUAAACAGACUGCAUAGCUCUUGA